Molecule: long non-coding RNA, 622 nt
Organism: Saccostrea echinata
Lineage: Eukaryota; Metazoa; Mollusca; Bivalvia; Ostreida; Ostreidae
Exons: 5
Source: RefSeq, a predicted model, not a curated record
ACUUGAACAAAGCCAACAGGAGUAGUUUAGUGAGCUGAAAAGUGUCAUUAAAUCAACCGAUCUGCUGGACAGUGAAUACCAAUAGUACCGUCCAUAAACAGACUACCAUAAUAGUGAAAACGGAAUAAAAAAUUACAGCAAAACCAUGAAUACACAUCACACAACGACUACUGUUGUGAUGGCCAAUCCAACACCCCCUGUGGUCAUUCAACAAGUGAAAAAAGAAAGAUUUGCUGACAAAAUUGCAUUAAACCUCCUCAUCACCCUUUUCUUUCCCUUCUGGAUAUUUGUUUGGUGUUGUAUGUGUAUUUGUGAGAAACAGCAAUGACGUCCUUCCUUGACGAAGAUGCCACCUGCGACUAACAUUUAUUAUUAUACGUUGAUCCUGUUCACAAACCAGUUCCGUUAUUAAUUAGACGUUUUCCUUUGACCUUCAUGAUGCCCUUAUCAUUUUGGCAAUAUUCAUACGACUUUAUCUGAGUUAAAGAGUGUUUGACUGUUAACUUUUUCGAGAUAUUGUUGUCCAAAAAUCAUGAUGUACAUUUUCAGGAUAUAUCUUUUUGACUGUGUCUUAUGGAAUCACAUUUCUGAUUUGAAGUGUUAAUAAAAAUAACAAGACUAA